GGCAGCAAAGAGCCCGGCACGGAGGGAGCGUGGCUGCGGCUGGGCUGGUCCAGGGAGGGACAAUAAAGCCAAUCCCGGGCAGGAAAAAUCACAAGCUCCAAACCCAGCUGUGGCUCAGGACCCGUGGAUGCAGCCCCAGUUUCUUCCCACACCUCAUGGAUUCAGUCUGGAGAAAAGGCUGCCUGGCCAUGACAAACUGACCGUUGGCUCCGUGAUUUGUGUGGAGUUGAAUACAUUGGUUAACUGCAAGCAGUAUGUUCUGAAGAUGAUGGUGUUCAGACAAAUACCCAAUUUGAUUCUGAUAAAUUGGAUGCAAGACUUUGACCAGCGUGAGAAGAACAGGCAUUAUGGAAGCAGGCAGCAUCCCAGACCUGUGGAGAAGCUCAGCAGGAGAACAAGUGGGGGAAAAUAUUCCCAAUGUCAUGCUGCUGCUGGUGGCUCAGGGGCCUGUGGUGGUCCAGCUCUUUGGAAAGUUUUGUACAGAAACCAGGAGGAUCUAAGAGCUGGAGCUAAUCCGUGAGAAAACAGCACCACCAGCAACAACAAUUUGCUCUAGACCAGAAAGAAGGUGGAAGAGGUGGGACUAAGAAGGACUUUCUCUUUCAAAAGAAGAAAUGUUGCUUUCCAGGCACCUGUAUGCUGAAAUUGAUUGAAAUGCAGCUUUCAUGCGGCCUGAUAACUGUUCCUCACUGGAGGAAGAACCUUGGAUAAAUGGAAUUUGCUCUGCCUUGCUCAGUGAGGCCACCUCAGAGCGCUGGUGCUUGUGUGAAUUGAAGAAAUAUUUGGAAACUGAGGUGGUUGUUACCUUUCUGUGCCUGGGUGUUCAAAGAGUGUUUCUGGCCAACACCUAAAAUUCAGUUUCCAAGGCCGGAGGCAGCAAAAGGCAAGUUUUGUAAAGACAAAAUGAGACCAAUGGAAAGAAAUUUCCUCCCAGCACAUUGGGAACCCUUCUCAACAAUAAAAACCACCAAAGGAACCACAAUGUUUGUGGAUUUUGUAGCUCCUUGUUCAGUCCAAAUACGAGGCAACCUUUCCCCUGGAUUUAUGGAGUUUAACACUGCAGGGAGUUUGGGAUCUUCACAAACUAUAACCAGAUUUUACUGGUGCCAAAUCUUUUGUGAUCCAAGCUCAUUUGUGGUGGGAAUGGGCUCAAGGUAAGGUCAUGAGGAAUUAUAUUGUUUCUUUCUUUCCCUUGUAUGGAAUUCUCAAAAGCCAGUUGCUGACUGGGUUGGUAAAUCACAUCCUGCAUAAAUAUAUUGAUAAAUACCAAUAUAUCUUCAGCUAAGAAGAAUCAGAGAUGUCCCAAGGAGGAAAAAUUAACUCCUUUUCCACCUCUGUUUGCAUUGAAGAUGUUUCUUGUUUCAAAGACUUUUCCCUUAGAAUAACUGUUUGCAAGCCCUGUGAAAAGCCAGGUAAUAUCCUUAUAUAUCCUUCGUCCUGUCCCAGGUCCAUGUUUUAAGAUCAGUGUCUCAGGUAUAACCAGUUCUUCCAAACAUCACCUUUUACUCUUUUUGACCUUAAAUGUUAAUGUACUCUCCUUGCUUUAUUUUCAGAAAUUCUGUUUAUUAUUUGAAAUGAACAUGCAGCAAUAGAAGUUUUCUCUAAAUUAAGCAAAAACUCAAUCUUUUACAUAUAUUUUCUCAUGUAAUUGUUAUCAGGUUGGUAAAAGGAAUCUGAUUUUCAGUAGAGAAGCAGAAUUUUCUUUAUUUUUGUUUAAUCUGUAGGGAUUUUCCAUGUUUUAUAAAAGCUGCAGGUACAGGUAAAGAUAAGGAAAGAGGAGGGCAGGUAUUGGUGUGCUCACUGAGUAGCUGAUUUAGAGAAAUGGGGGUCCCCUGGGCCUGACUUGCAACCAAAUGACCAAAACACUUUGCCUUUUAUUUAUUUAUCCAGCUACUUAACACUUCUUACCGUUUCUCUUAAAUGAAUUAAUUUACCCUACAAAGCACUCCUUGCAAUAAUCAAUGACUCAUUACACUGAAAGCCCGCAGGAAAUACUAAUUAAAUGAAAAAUGUGCAGGAGGAAUGUGCAACUUUUGUAUUUCCAACGGCCCAGAUACUCAGUGCUCUCUUUUUUUUCCUAAAUCCUCAUAAGUUACAGGAGAGGUUUUUGCCUUCAGCCACAGGGAGCUGCAGUGGCUUGGAGGGUGGUGAUAUUUCCCAGACAUACCAAAUCCAGUUCAUUUAUCAUCAAUAUCCACAGGAAAUAAUAAUCUGUUUAUACAUCACAUUUCUUUGAGCUCUGCGACGUUCUAGUCAUGAAUUCCUUCCAGCUGCUUUUCUCGUUCCCACAGCAGAAUUGCUUGGGAAGGGUUAUCCCUUACCCAGCACUUACUUCAACAAUUAUUGACUGAUAGCCACUGGUAAUUCCAGCUCUCCAACAAUCCUUGAUAAAGAUUUUGUGCUGUUGUUAUGCUCUCAAAUGUUUCCUCACCCAUAAAGGCCUCGAACUCCAGGUUGGGUAGUUCACACAGCCACCUUUUUGGGAUCUUUGAAUAGGAAGAGCUUAAUAAUAUGGAAAUAAUAUGGAAGAUGAAGUUUUUAUAAGGAUAGAAAUGCUGAAAGUGAGAGUGGGUUCAAAACUCCUGCUUCCUUGCUGUGUCCUGCUCCCUUUGGUGAGGGAUUUCUGGAGCAAUCGAGGUUUCUUUUAUCCUUGGUCAGUGAUUUUUGGAGAAAGUGUGUUAAGACAAGCCAUGAAAUAAAGCAAUCAGAGCAAGGUAAAGCAAAAUCCCCCAAAACCACCACCAGCAUAAAAAAAACCCCAAUAAAGACAAAAAGGAAAAAAAAAAAAAGGCAGUGGCCAAGCUCCUUUCCUUCAGAUCCUUUGCACUGAUGGUUUUGUAGGAUACCAGCCUUCUGUUCUGGUUUGUUCCCCACCAAAUCACCCCUCAGGUUUGUUCCUCCCUCCAAAUUAAUUUACAUUUUUUGCAGAUUGCUGUUUUCUUGACCACCAGGCCAUACCUUCAUUCAGGUACUGCUGCUCCCAUUUAGUUUAGCAGGUGACCCAAUGCCAGCCUGGGGCACUCACGAUCCUGGAAAAGUUCAAGCCACAAACACUAGAAAUAAUUAUUUUGAUUUUUAAGUAACAUGGGAAGAGAGGGAGAAUAAGAGAGGAAUUAAUUCCCUACUCAGUUUUAAGGCAGCAAGAAUUUAAGUCAAUUUAGCUCCUCGUACUAAUUAAUGCUCCCAAAGAGCUGUAAAAUAUAACAACAGAGAAGAUGAAUGAUUUAAAGUGGAAGUGACCAAGAGAAAUCUGGAUGAACACAAUACUGCCUCUACUUUUGGUUUUCAAGUAAGAAAUUGCAUUUUAAAUGGUGGCAAUGUAUUGAAGAUUUUGGUAAAACUUUGUUCUCAACUGUAGGCAGUUGUGUUUCUGUAGAGAUUUCCUGUGCUGCAGGACAGGGAAGGCAGGGCAGGAAGGGUAAAUUAGGGAGAAGAUUUUAAUCCCAAAUGGAUGAAACUUGAGAUAGAAAUGCCUGGUUUAGCCCCUAACUCUGUAUUUUAGAGAUAAAACAAAUGGUGGUGGUGGCAGUAGUAGUAGUACACUGAAUUUAUUUAUUCUGUAAAUCAAGAGCUGGAUAUUUUCCUUGCUCCUUUGUAAUUUUAUUGAAGGAAAAUCAUAGAUGUCUUUUUAGUGCUUCGGGGGAUUGAUACUUUCAGGUUACAUUCCUGACUUUCAGUCUAGUUUCUCCCUCACCAGCCUUUGGAAUUCAGUGGGACUGAUGGAUUUCAUCAUUUCAGGAAUUAGGCCCUAAAUUCUGAUGUCUACAAA
This 3769-nucleotide long non-coding RNA is filed under the name Taeniopygia guttata (zebra finch). Its description in RNAcentral is "lncRNA (ENSTGUG00000024255.1)". Lineage: Eukaryota; Metazoa; Chordata; Aves; Passeriformes; Estrildidae. The record is from RNAcentral.